UGGGACAUAGCUCAGUUGGUUAGAGUGCUACCUUGACAUGGUAGAGGUCGGCGGUUCAAAUCCGCCUGUCCCAA
Molecule: transfer RNA, 74 nt
Filed under: Bdellovibrionales bacterium
Lineage: Bacteria; Pseudomonadati; Bdellovibrionota; Bdellovibrionia; Bdellovibrionales
Description: tRNA-Val
Rfam family: tRNA
About the family: Transfer RNA (tRNA) molecules are approximately 80 nucleotides in length. Their secondary structure includes four short double-helical elements and three loops (D, anti-codon, and T loops). Further hydrogen bonds mediate the characteristic L-shaped molecular structure. tRNAs have two regions of fundamental functional importance: the anti-codon, which is responsible for specific mRNA codon recognition, and the 3' end, to which the tRNAs corresponding amino acid is attached (by aminoacyl-tRNA synthetases). tRNAs cope with the degeneracy of the genetic code in two manners: having more than one tRNA (with a specific anti-codon) for a particular amino acid; and 'wobble' base-pairing, i.e. permitting non-standard base-pairing at the 3rd anti-codon position.
Source: RNAcentral